This 549-nucleotide ribosomal RNA is filed under the name uncultured Dactylosporangium sp. RNAcentral's name for it is "bacterial SSU rRNA". It matches the Rfam family "Bacterial small subunit ribosomal RNA", at positions 575 to 1124 of the family's 1533-position model. Lineage: Bacteria; Bacillati; Actinomycetota; Actinomycetes; Micromonosporales; Micromonosporaceae. The record is from RNAcentral.
GCGGCUUGUUGCGUCAGCUGUGAAAACCCGCAGCUCAACUGUGGGCUUGCAGCUGAUACGGGCAGGCUUGAGUUCGGUAGGGGAGACUGGAAUUCCUGGUGUAGCGGCGAAAUGCGCAGAUAUCAGGAGGAACACCGGUGGGGAAGGCGGGUCUCUGGGCCGAUACUGACGCUGAGGAGCGAAAGCGUGGGGAGCGAACAGGAUUAGAUACCCUGGUAGUCCACGCUGUAAACGUUGGGCGCUAGGUGUGGGGGGCCUCUCCGGUUCUCUGUGCCGCAGCUAACGCAUUAAGCGCCCCGCCUGGGGAGUACGGCCGCAAGGCUAAAACUCAAAGGAAUUGACGGGGGCCCGCACAAGCGGCGGAGCAUGCGGAUUAAUUCGAUGCAACGCGAAGAACCUUACCUGGGUUUGGCAUGGGCGCUGAAGCCGCAGAGAUGUGGUGUCCUUCGGGGGCGUUCACAGGUGGUGCAUGGCUGUCGUCAGCUCGUGUCGUGAGGUGUUGGGUUAAGUCCCGCAACGAGCGCAACCCUUGUUCGAUGUUGCCAGCGG